GACGUAGGGCGCGAGCGUUGUCCGGAUUUAUUGGGCGUAAAGAGCUCGUAGGCGGCUUGUCGCGUCGGCUGUGAAAACCCGCGGCUUAACUGUGGGCGUGCGGUCGAUACGGGCAUCACUGGAGUUCGGCAGGGGAGACUGGAAUUCCUGGUGUAGCGGUGAAAUGCGCAGAUAUCAGGAGGAACACCGGUGGCGAAGGCGGGUCUCUGGGCCGAUACUGACGCUGAGGAGCGAAAGCGUGGGGAGCGAACAGG
This 254-nucleotide ribosomal RNA is filed under the name uncultured bacterium. RNAcentral's name for it is "partial 16S ribosomal RNA". It matches the Rfam family "Bacterial small subunit ribosomal RNA", at positions 524 to 776 of the family's 1533-position model. The record is from RNAcentral.